Molecule: ribosomal RNA, 575 nt
Filed under: Spinomantis peraccae
Lineage: Eukaryota; Metazoa; Chordata; Amphibia; Anura; Mantellidae
Description: partial 16S ribosomal RNA
Rfam family: Bacterial large subunit ribosomal RNA
Source: RNAcentral
UUUUAGUUUGACCCCCCGAAAUUAAGUGAGCUACUUCGAAACAGCCUAAAGAGCCAACUCAUCUCUGUUGCAAAAGAGUGAGAUGAUUUCCAAGUAGAAGUGACAAACCUACCGCACUUAAAGAUAGCUGGUUACCCGAGAAAAGAAUAUAAGUUCAACCCUAAGCCUUAUCAUUUUACUAAAAAUCCCUCCAAGCUUAAGAGUUAUUCGAAUAAGGCACAGCUUAUUCGAAACAGGAUACAACCUACAAUCUAGGGUAACAUCUAAGAACAACUAACAAGUGGGCCUAAAAGCAGCCACCUUUCAAAAAGCGUUAAAGCUUAUUAUCUCCUCUAAACUAAUAUCUCAACAAACCUCCAACCCAUAAAUAAUAUCGAGUAACUCCAUAAUCAUAUGGAAGAUAUAAUGCUAGAACUAGUAAUAAGAAAUAGACUUUCUCCAAAAUGUAAGCUUAAGCCACACUAGACCGACUAUUGGCAAUUAACGCAAAUGAAUCUAUCAUAACAACUUAACAAGAAAACACUAUAUAACAUAACGUCAAUCUUACACUAGAACAUUUAUGGAAAGAUUAAAAG